UUGUCAUUCCUCAAGAGUAUGACAGCCAGAAAGAAGGCAAACCCUGCGCCUGCGAUGAUCAUGCCCCAUAUCUUCGCGGCAACACCUGACAAACACAGGACAGAGCACAUCACCCAGAUUAGCUAAGAGGAAUUUAAAGCAGAGCCAUGAACAAAUCUCCAGAUGUAAAAGUGACACCCAUGAUGCAGUGGGGCUCCAGUCACUCCAGAUUGAUCCGACCCGUUCUUCAGCCUUCACUCGAACACGUGCCUCGUAC
Molecule: long non-coding RNA, 256 nt
Organism: Seriola aureovittata
Lineage: Eukaryota; Metazoa; Chordata; Actinopteri; Carangiformes; Carangidae
Exons: 3
Source: RefSeq, a predicted model, not a curated record